Long non-coding RNA from Stegodyphus dumicola, 362 nucleotides. The record is from RefSeq and is a predicted model, not a curated record. Lineage: Eukaryota; Metazoa; Arthropoda; Arachnida; Araneae; Eresidae.
GUUGGUGCUAUCAUCCUCCAUAAGGAUUACAAUGGAAGCUCGUAAUGAACGCAAACGUAGAUGUGUUGACACGUUGGGGGAUGUGCAGCCGUCGGAAGAUCUUAUUUUAAACCUUGCUCCCGAGGAAGGCGAAACCUCCCGCAAAAAACUCAAAAAAAUUAAAAUAUACAUUGGAAAAAAUGUUUCAAUAGAAACUUGUGACUUCAAAAAUGUCAAUUAUGUUUCAUUUGUAAGGGUGUAUCCCGAAACCGCCGCCACCCCCAAAAGAUUUAAUAUAAAUAUGAAUUGUAUUGAUCGUAUAAUCGAAGCUUUGGGGGUGAUUAAGAGUCACUGUAUGUAAAAUUAAAAAAAAAAAAAAAAAA